Molecule: ribosomal RNA, 331 nt
Filed under: uncultured Lachnospiraceae bacterium
Lineage: Bacteria; Bacillati; Bacillota; Clostridia; Lachnospirales; Lachnospiraceae
Description: bacterial SSU rRNA
Rfam family: Bacterial small subunit ribosomal RNA
Source: RNAcentral
GAUGAACGCUGGCGGCGUGCUUAACACAUGCAAGUCGAACGAAGCACAUAAGACGGAAUCCUUCGGGAGGAAGAUUUAUGUGACUGAGUGGCGGACGGGUGAGUAACGCGUGGGUAACCUACCUUGUACAGGGGGACAACAGUUGGAAACGACUGCUAAUACCGCAUAAGCGCACGGUACCGCAUGGUACAGUGUGAAAAGUAUUUUCGGUACAAGAUGGACCCGCGUCUGAUUAGCUAGUUGGUGAGGUAACGGCUCACCAAGGCGACGAUCAGUAGCCGACCUGAGAGGGUGACCGGCCACAUUGGGACUGAGACACGGCCCAAACUCC